CCAAAAUUAGGUGAUGAUUGCUAUAAAUAAGAGUGGUAGUGAAGAAUCAAUAUGCAAGUAAAUCAAUAAAUUCAAUCAUCUCAAAAUAAAUAGAAAUAUGAAAGCCUUUGUCAUCAUAAUAUGUAUUUUCUUGGCUGCCAUAAUUUUUUCUCCUUAUUCGACCAUAGCCGCUCGUCAGCUAAAUUCUCCUGGCACUAACAGAGUAGGCGUCGUCGUCAAAGAUAGUGAACCUAUUGGAUACAAAGAUCUUCCCUUUACAUGCUACCCUGGCCGGCCGAAUUGCAACUAACCGGCAGAAACCUUGCCGUAGCAUUUACAUUCCCUUGAAGAUGACACAUUCUGCUUUGGAAUAAUUGAUAUCAUUAUGUCUAUAUAUAAAAAUGUAUUCAUUAAGUUUGAUAAUUAUGUUUAAGUGGAAAUAUAAAUAUCUAUUGAGAAUAAGCUGAAAAUUUGACUUGUGUGGAUGGACUUUUAAGCUGUAACGUGUGCAAUGGUGGAAUCAAGAUUUUCUUUUGUUAAGGCUAAA
Long non-coding RNA from Mercurialis annua (annual mercury), 526 nucleotides. RefSeq lists it as uncharacterized. The transcript has 2 exons. Lineage: Eukaryota; Viridiplantae; Streptophyta; Magnoliopsida; Malpighiales; Euphorbiaceae. The record is from RefSeq and is a predicted model, not a curated record.